Molecule: long non-coding RNA, 118 nt
Organism: Camelus ferus (Wild Bactrian camel)
Lineage: Eukaryota; Metazoa; Chordata; Mammalia; Artiodactyla; Camelidae
Rfam family: Highly accelerated region 1A/1B
Source: Rfam
UGAAACAGAGGAGAAAUUACAGCAAUUCAUCAACCGAAAUGAUAGGGAUAGACAUGUGUCGGCAGUGGAAACAGUUUCUAACAAAAUUAAAGUAUUUAGAGACUUUCCUCAAAUUUCA